UUUUUUUAACAUAAAUAAGGCCGCUAGUUUUCUCUUUUGAAUUUUUUUACAUCGUCAUUUCGGGGCCUUUUAAAGCUGAGUAUGCGGUAUGGGCUUUGCUUGUUGUUGAAGGCCGUACGGUGACCUAUAGUCGUAAAUUUCUGUGUCAUUUUGGUCUCUUGUGGAGAGUUGUCUCAACAUGGCAAUCAUACCACAUCUUUUUUUUUUGUA
This 210-nucleotide long non-coding RNA is filed under the name Mytilus galloprovincialis (Mediterranean mussel). The record is from RNAcentral. Lineage: Eukaryota; Metazoa; Mollusca; Bivalvia; Mytilida; Mytilidae.